AUACAGAGGGUGCGAGCGUUAAUCGGAAUUACUGGGCGUAAAGCGCGCGUAGGCGGCUACUUAAGUCAGAUGUGAAAUCCCCGGGCUCAACCUGGGAACUGCAUCUGAUACUGGGUAGCUAGAGUUUUGGAGAGGGAAGUAGAAUUUCAGGUGUAGCGGUGAAAUGCAUAGAGAUCUGAAGGAAUACCAGUGGCGAAGGCGACUUCCUGGCCAAAAACUGACGCUGAGGUGCGAAAGCGUGGGUAGCAAACAGGAUUAGAUACCCUAGUAGUCC
Molecule: ribosomal RNA, 274 nt
Filed under: uncultured bacterium
Lineage: Bacteria
Description: partial 16S ribosomal RNA
Rfam family: Bacterial small subunit ribosomal RNA
Source: RNAcentral